UACGUAGGGUGCGAGCAUUAAUCGGAAUUACUGGGCGUAAAGCGUGCGCAGGCGGUCUGUUAAGACCGAUGUGAAAUCCCCGGGCUUAACCUGGGAACUGCAUUGGUGACUGGCAGGCUUUGAGUGUGGCAGAGGGAGGUAGAAUUCCACGUGUAGCAGUGAAAUGCGUAGAGAUGUGGAGGAAUACCGAUGGCGAAGGCAGCCUCCUGGGCCAACACUGACGCUCAUGCACGAAAGCGUGGGGAGCAAACAGG
This 254-nucleotide ribosomal RNA is filed under the name uncultured bacterium. Its description in RNAcentral is "partial 16S ribosomal RNA". It matches the Rfam family "Bacterial small subunit ribosomal RNA", at positions 524 to 776 of the family's 1533-position model. The record is from RNAcentral.